UCAGGUGCUCAACUCCUAUUU
RNAcentral lists this microRNA (21 nucleotides) under Taeniopygia guttata (zebra finch). RNAcentral describes it as "tgu-miR-2972". Lineage: Eukaryota; Metazoa; Chordata; Aves; Passeriformes; Estrildidae. The record is from miRBase by way of RNAcentral.